RNAcentral lists this long non-coding RNA (233 nucleotides) under Ailuropoda melanoleuca (giant panda). RNAcentral's name for it is "lncRNA (ENSAMEG00000023741.1)". The record is from RNAcentral. Lineage: Eukaryota; Metazoa; Chordata; Mammalia; Carnivora; Ursidae.
ACCGGCCUCUGUGGGGUCACAGCCUUCUGGGUGCACAAGCAGAGGGCACUUAUUAUGAAGAAAAAGGCACACUUCCUAAUGACAGCAACCCCAUGCCAGAACAUGUGACUUUGUUGUCAGAGCACUGGAGAGACAGCCCAGUCAGGUCACCACACUGCCCAGGAAACGGAAGCACACCUGAGAAGAUGUCCCCAUCCCUCCACCUGAGGCUUGUGUCGCAGAUGCAGCCAUAG